Molecule: ribosomal RNA, 980 nt
Filed under: uncultured bacterium
Lineage: Bacteria
Description: bacterial SSU rRNA
Rfam family: Bacterial small subunit ribosomal RNA
Source: RNAcentral
AGAGUUUGAUUAUGGCUCAGGAUGAACGCUAGCGGCAGGCUUAACACAUGCAAGUCGAGGGGCAGCACGAUGUAGCAAUACAUUGGUGGCGACCGGCGCACGGGUGCGUAACGCGUAUGCAACCUACCUUUUACAGGGGAAUAACCCGGAGAAAUUCGGACUAAUACCGCAUAAUAUUAAAGUAUGGCAUCAUAUUUUGAUUAAAGAUUUAUUGGUAAAAGAUGGGCAUGCGUGACAUUAGCUAGAUGGUAAGGUAACGGCUUACCAUGGCGACGAUGUCUAGGGGUUCUGAGAGGAAGGUCCCCCACACUGGUACUGAGACACGGACCAGACUCCUACGGGAGGCAGCAGUGAGGAAUAUUGGUCAAUGGGCGAGAGCCUGAACCAGCCAUGCCGCGUGAAGGAAGACGGCGCUACGCGUUGUAAACUUCUUUUUUAAGGGAAUAACCAUAGGUUUGCGAACCUGUCUGUAUGUACCUUAAGAAUAAGCAUCGGCUAACUCCGUGCCAGCAGCCGCGGUAAUACGGAGGAUGCAAGCGUUAUCCGGAUUCACUGGGUUUAAAGGGUGCGUAGGCGGUUUAGUAAGUCAGCGGUGAAAUACCUUUGCUCAACAAAGGAGGUGCCGUUGAUACUGUUAGACUAGAAUACAGUUGACGUGGGUGGAAUAUGUCAUGUAGCGGUGAAAUGCAUAGAUAUGACAUAGAACGCCGAUCGGGAAGCCAGCUCACGAAGCUGAUAUUGACGCUGAUGCACGAAAGCGUGGGGAUCAAACAGGAUUAGAUACCCUGGUAGUCCACGCAGUAAACGAUGAUAACUCGUUGUCGGCGAUACACAGUCGGUGACUAAGCGAAAGUGAUAAGUUAUCCACCUGGGGAGUACGUUCGCAAGAAUGAAACUCAAAGGAAUUGACGGGGGCUCGCACAAGCGGAGGAGCAUGUGGUUUAAUUCGAUGAUACGCGAGGAAUCUUACUCGGGCUCGA